AGAAUCAACGCUGGCGGCGUGCCUAACACAUGCAAGUCGCACGAGAAAGGGGAGCAAUCCCUGAGUAAAGUGGCGCACGGGUGAGUAACACGUGAAUAAUCUACCUCCGAGUGGGGAAUAACUGAGAGAAAUCUUAGCUAAUACCGCAUAACACUUACGAGUCAAAGCAGCAAUGCGCUUGGAGAGGAGUUCGCGGCCGAUUAGUUAGUUGGCGGGGUAAUGGCCCACCAAGACGAUGAUCGGUAUCCGGCCUGAGAGGGCGCACGGACACACUGGAACUGAAACACGGUCCAGACUCCUACGGGAGGCAGCAGUGGGGAAUUUUGCGCAAUGGGGGAAACCCUGACGCAGCAACGCCGCGUGGAGGAUGAAGCCCCUUGGGGUGUAAACUCCUUUCGAUCGGGAAGAUAAUGACGGUACCGAUAUAAGAAGCCCCGGACUAACUUCGUGCCAGCAGCCGC
This 461-nucleotide ribosomal RNA is filed under the name uncultured bacterium. Its description in RNAcentral is "SSU rRNA". It matches the Rfam family "Bacterial small subunit ribosomal RNA", at positions 26 to 518 of the family's 1533-position model. The record is from RNAcentral.